Long non-coding RNA from Argentina anserina (silverweed cinquefoil), 1130 nucleotides. RefSeq lists it as uncharacterized. The record is from RefSeq and is a predicted model, not a curated record. NCBI's taxonomy places the organism in Eukaryota, Viridiplantae, Streptophyta, Magnoliopsida, Rosales, Rosaceae. The transcript has 3 exons.
GUGAUGGGCCUCGGGAAGAAUGAUAUUAGAGCUUUCAAUCAUUUUACUGUUGUUGUUUUGUUGUCGGUUCCGAGGGUCAAGAGAUUUGGUGAGGCAUUGAUGGGGGAUUUGAAAAUGGUCAUUCUGACUGCUUACCGUGAUUACAAGUUUGCUAAGGGUUAAAUUUCAGUUUUAUUAUAUGCUUUGUUUUUAUUCAACCCUGAUGUGAAUUAUUUCAAUGGGAAUUACUGAAUUAGUUCAUAAUCCACUUAUUUGAUACCAUAGCAUUUGAUCUAGUGGUACUACGACUAUCCAAACGACAGCGUAGGUGAGUACCUUUCCAUGUAGUUUUUAAUUGAAACCAGGAUGUGAUCUUUUUUUCAUGUGGUUUUGGUGUGAUUUGUUCACAUCUAUCAUGGACUUUUCUUACGAAUUUAAGAAAAGAAACACAGUGCUAAAUGUCUACCUUCUCUAUCUGUAGUUUCAUUCGUGUGGAGUCAUGCAUGUUAUCUCUGGAUAAGUACUUUUUUUUUAUCUAAUGUCUAGUCUAGCUAGCUUCAUAUAAAAAUGAUCUAUUUCCAUAACCCAAGUCUUUUGACUCUAUAUCGUAUAAGGAUAUGUUGUGCACAUAGAACUUUUUUCAAUUUUUUUCAACUUUUAAUACUUACAAUUCAAUUAGCUAGCACGUCUUUUUUUUUGUGUGCAGGAAAUUAUUUUUUCUGAGACUCAAGGUUGGUAAUCGGCUUUCAGCAUUUAAUUUUCAGGGCAAACAGAUGUUGUUGAUCCAUCUGUAGUAAGAGCUUGUCUUCUAGCUUUAUUUGAAGCAUCACUCUCAUUGUAGGUGUGAUUUUGAAGAUGGUAUAUACAACAGAGGAGCUGGAAACCAAGCUUUGACAUAUUAAAAAGCAAUGUGGUCAGCCUAGCUACCUGUGAUGAUGGUAUUGAUGAGGAUUGAAUGUUCAUGAAAGGAUGUUGCAGAUUAGGCGGAUGCUAGCUAUAUGCCUUGUGCUUAUUAGAUUUUCAUAAGUUAAUUGUUUAUUAGAGCAUUGUCUAUCUUAUAUUAACACAUGAAUGUUCUUAGUUGAAGAUGUAUAAAAGAUAUUAGUAAAAGUGCUCAAGUUCAUUAGUUUGAGUUGUAAAGUUGGUGUUAU